AGGUACGGGGUUGGACUGGCCUGGUUGCGUGGAAGAAGAGCAGACCGUCACCAGUAGGCAGCAGUUCUGUGAUGCACUGCGGUCAAUCCCUGACGUGCAGCAGAAGAAGAGGUGUAUGCUGACCGGGAAGGAUCCCAACAGCAGUCAAGGAGAGAAGAGGAGGAUGCGCAGCAAGCAGCAGAGCCCAGCCCAGCCCAGCCCAGCCCACCGCAGCCCAGCCCAACC
Molecule: long non-coding RNA, 225 nt
Organism: Saccostrea cuccullata (small rock oyster)
Lineage: Eukaryota; Metazoa; Mollusca; Bivalvia; Ostreida; Ostreidae
Exons: 3
Source: RefSeq, a predicted model, not a curated record